CAAACGUUGAACAUCCCUCUUACUGAGCAAUUUGUGGGGGCUCUGGAAAGUGGCUGCUGCCAUUUUCCCCUUUCUUCAUGCAUUUUCUCUUAACAAUUUUCUCCGUUUUCUUUUGUUUUUUGAGAAAAAAGAAAAAGAGGGACAAUUUCUUCUCUUCCCAACUAGUGGAGAUUGGAGAGUUUCGGGGGAAGGGAAAAUCAGCUACAAAUUUUGAUUUUUGAAGCUAGUUUUUGCUUUUGGAGUUGUGCCUCUCGUAUGGCUAAUAUAGCUAAUCUUUCGUCGGCCUGGGUCCCUACAGACAACUUUUAAGAAUGACAUGGACUACUUGGCACGAUGAGAUAGGUUUUGUUUGUUUACAAGUUAGGUCUCGGGGCUUAGAGCUCCUAUGUUUUAGGCCAAGGCCUUUUGAUUUGGGCUAGGUGAUGGGAUAUGGAGCAUUCCAUUUAUGAGCUUUUUACACUGCGUAGUUUUAUGACGUUCUUAAUAUAUUAUCUCAUGUUAGACUGUAGGCUUUAUUUUGCCAAAAAAAGGAAAAAUCAUGUAUUUUUUCUCCUGAAGUCUUCCUGUAUUGCAUGUGCUGGUAAAAAAUUUGUUUACAGCAAAUAAA
RNAcentral lists this long non-coding RNA (607 nucleotides) under Manihot esculenta (cassava). RNAcentral describes it as "long non-coding RNA (MESC_LNC000662)". The record is from RNAcentral. Lineage: Eukaryota; Viridiplantae; Streptophyta; Magnoliopsida; Malpighiales; Euphorbiaceae.